GGAAACUUUAGAAAACAAAAACAAUAACAAGAAAAUAAAAAAACAACAAAAAGUUUGAUUUUCACAGCAAGGAGGGCCUGAGAGACAGAUACAGAGAGGCUUAUUCUCUUCUUCAAAACAUAUUUUCCUCUUGUUGCUGGGUCAUUAGUGUAAAUCGAUUUUAGUUGCACCCAAGAAGGGAAAUAGGAAGGGAAAGGGAAGUUCAUUUUAUUUUUAUUUUUUUAUUUUAUGGGUUCUGGGAUUUGAGUGGUU
Molecule: unclassified non-coding RNA, 252 nt
Filed under: Hevea brasiliensis (rubber tree)
Lineage: Eukaryota; Viridiplantae; Streptophyta; Magnoliopsida; Malpighiales; Euphorbiaceae
Source: RNAcentral